GCUGCCGGCAUUCUGGGGAGGUCCGGAAGCGGUGGAGCUGGUGGUCUGGUCUCCCAUCCCCUCCCUGCCUGGCUCGGACGCCAGCCCCAUUACACCGACGGGAAUGAGCGACGGAGAGGAGAAUCCAGCAGCAGUGCCUGUGGCCCCGCCAGAUGUACAGGGAGACGGCCGCUGGAUGUCACAGCACAACCGAUUUGUG
This is a long non-coding RNA of Leucoraja erinaceus (little skate), 199 nucleotides long. RefSeq lists it as uncharacterized. NCBI's taxonomy places the organism in Eukaryota, Metazoa, Chordata, Chondrichthyes, Rajiformes, Rajidae. The record is from RefSeq and is a predicted model, not a curated record. The transcript is spliced from 3 exons.